RNAcentral lists this ribosomal RNA (434 nucleotides) under uncultured bacterium. RNAcentral describes it as "bacterial SSU rRNA". It matches the Rfam family "Bacterial small subunit ribosomal RNA", at positions 957 to 1392 of the family's 1533-position model. The record is from RNAcentral.
UAACGCGAAGAACCUUACCAGGUCUUGACAUCCUCUGCCACUCCUAGAGAUAGGACGUUCCCCUUCGGGGGACAGAGUGACAGGUGGUGCAUGGUUGUCGUCAGCUCGUGUCGUGAGAUGUUGGGUUAAGUCCCGCAACGAGCGCAACCCUUGAUCUUAGUUGCCAGCAUUUAGUUGGGCACUCUAAGGUGACUGCCAGUGACAACCGGAGGAAGGUGGGGAUGACGUCAAAUCAUCAUGCCCCUUAUGACCUGGCUACACACGUGCUACAAUGGAUGGUACAAAGGGCAGCGAAGCCGCGAGGUGAAGCCAAUCCCAUAAAACCAUUCUCAGUUCGGAUUGUAGGCUGCAACUCGCCUACAUGAAGCCGGAAUCGCUAGUAAUCGCGGAUCAGCAUGCCGCGGUGAAUACGUUCCCGGGCCUUGUACACACCG